Molecule: long non-coding RNA, 2867 nt
Filed under: Marmota monax (woodchuck)
Lineage: Eukaryota; Metazoa; Chordata; Mammalia; Rodentia; Sciuridae
Source: RNAcentral
CAGUUCUAGGCUUUCCAUGGCAUCCAUACAGCCAGAGGAUGCAAGGACAUUUUUCCCAGAACCUACUUUCAGAAUAAAGAGACAUACUUUCUAGAAGCUUCCAGGAAAACUGUUUUAGGCAAAGUCCCUCAAAAACCAGAUACCAAGAUGAGAUUUUUAUCUGCUGGGCUUUCAUGGAGAAAAACAAGUAUGGAUGCAAACAGGGAGCUGGGAAGGCUGGCAGAGCAGUCAGAAGAUGAGGGAAUGCUGACGUGGAGUGAAGGAAAGAGGGCGAGAGGUUGGUGGAAGUGCUUGUACUGUGUGGUCUAAGCACAGUCUUAAGGGAAUUCUUUAGCCAACAUCAGCUGACUUAGAAAUUUUGUCUCCCAGGAACCAACCUGUGUUCAUAUUCCUUCAGAUCCAUAAACUUGGGGAUGACUGCCAGACUGCAGCACCUGGGCCCUUGAUCAGUUGUGCCACGGGAAUGAAUAGGAGGAUAAGGUUUCAACAGGAGGAGUCUUGAUUUGGUGCUUGCUUCUCUGUAUGGCAGGGGUCUUACAGUAAACAGGUUUGAUUGGCAUUUUGGCAAUCAAAUCUCUGGGAGUCUCCACGGCUACACUAGAACUUGAGCAGGAGCUAGAACAGGGUGCCAACCUGAAGUAAGCAUUCUCAAACUAGGGGUUUCCAUCUGGGAGUUCUUACAACUGGGCUUCCCUGCCUAAUGGCUUCAACAUCACUCAAUUCACACACAGCUCAGUUCACAUAUGGGUCAGGAUGGCUUCCGGCAUACGAGGACAUUAAAGUCUUAGGGGGUUAAGAAAUCUUCCUGAGAACACAACAGGUAAGUAGGUGGCUGGUUGAUUGCAAAGUUAUAGCAUCUCCUCCACUUCAAAUUCUUACUAUGGCCAUCUCUCUUCCAGCUUGCUUCAACAAAGCAUUUUAGAUUUGCUUUUCAGGGCUUCUUCUCUUCUGGGUGAGACUGGGAGAGCUUUGUGUCCUCUUAGGUACUGUAUUAAUGCAUUCCACCAACACCGGCUUGAGAUGGCAACUGAAGGCUCUUGAGGCUGGCACAACACCAACUAGAAGGUCAGUUUGUCCUUAAUGUCCAAUAAUUGCAGGUAGCCAAAUACAGUACAGUGCUCAGGAAUAACAUCACUUGGCUGACCUCAUAAGGAAAACUGUUUAAUGUAUCCAUUUUGGUUGCUUAGUUAUAUGCUGAUACACACCAAGAUCAUGUGAAGCUGGCACUUUAGGGAGCCAACGGAAAGACAGACAAUGACCAAAAUAACAAGGACGGUGGAGAGAGUUUCAAGGGUCAUCUCAGUGACAACUCAGACAAAGUAAUCUUUACUGUGGGUUUGCCCUAAUUUAAGGAAUACAAAUUAACAACACAGAUAAGUAAAGAAGUGAGUAUGUAUUGCAAAGAAAAGGCAUAAUGAAUUUACAGAAGGAUUCAGUGUAAGAGCCCCUUAAAUAUCAAUUAAGUGCAUUUAAAAUAUAAUUCAUUAUAUAUAAUAUCAUUUACUAUCGUUUUCAAGAGUACAACCAUUGGGUUAAGGGCUGUUCACCUAUGCUUUGAAAAAAAUACAAUUCAAAUAACUUCCACAAGAAGUUUAAUACAUUUUCUUAUGUCUUUAAUACAUUUUUUAUGUCUAUACAUUCAAGAAUAUUCAUGAAGGCUUUAUUAUGUACAAGACACACUACUGAAUUCUAAGACACUGACUUGGUAGAUCUGGGAUGAGGCCAGAUUAUGCAUUCCUAACAAGUUCCCAGACCACACUGGGUAGAAAGGGCUUCUAGAGAUUCAACUAGAAAAGGUGAGGCUCUGAGUGUCAGAGCCCAAUACCACUGUAGGUUGAGUCAGGGAAGGAUGCUGUUCCCAUCCAAUAGAUGGGUCUCUGGCAACAGCACCUGCGCCAGCACAAUCACAGCAUGCCCUUGGCUUCCGUUGCUGCUGCUGGUCAGUGGGUUUUGCAGUCCCUGAAGCUGGAGUGAAUUCCUAUUUGCAGGAAUCUUUGUAGUCUCAAAGACAUGAGUGAGAGCGGAUAUCUUCUUUCUGCCUCUGUAGUGAGAGGCAGGCUGUGCUUCCCACAAUGACUCACCAUAGGAAAAAUUGAUCUUCCUCAAACCUGGAAGGAAGAUCAGAACUGGACAGCCGAAAUAUGAUAAUGUCUACUAUAAAAAUUAUGUCAACUUAUAUAUAUAUAUAUAUAUAUAUAUAUAUAUAUAUAUAUAUAUAUAAAAACUCCACUUAUUGAUGUGGCUCACCAAUACAUGAUCCACUAUACAGAGAUAAACUUCCCAGGAACCCAUGCAGUCACAUGGCUUUAACCUUGGACGUGCCAAUCUUCCUCCAACCUUGAAUAGAAGGAACAGAUAUUCUGCAUUAACACGUCAUGCUAAUAUGGGCUCUUCCUUAUUUGCAGUAAAAAACAUUUCACAUUCCAAUUCUCAUUUGCUUUAUUUUUCUUUUUACUGAAUUUUUUUUCUUGUGUUAGGGAAUAUAUCUCUGGAUUUAGUUUAUGAGGAUCAAUCAAAUCCCAGAGGCAUUCAGUUCAUCCUCAUGAUGGGAUUUCCAGGGCUAUUUCUCCAAUAUUAAAAAAUAAAGGUAAAUCUUAUGCUGCAGUUAAGAAGAAUGAGAAAUGUCAAAGUGUACACCGGUUUGUUCCCCUUUUAGGAUCACUAUCCCCAACCAAAUUGUAAGCUGGCUUUCAUUAAAAUGUGAUAUUUAUCUUUCCAAAGUGAAUUUGUCUUCCUCUGAUAAGAAGAGAAAAAAUGUCACUAUUUGCUGCUAAAUAAAUAAAUAUAGGAACAGACACAUGAUUCUUUUAAUGAAAACCAUAAUUUGAAAACAAUAUCUUUCUUAAAUGUACAGUACACUAAUAGAG